CAGUCGCCGCGGGAAUACGAAGGGGGCUAGCGUUGCUCGGAAUGACUGGGCGUAAAGGGCGCGUAGACGGCCUACACAGUCAGAUGUGAAAUUCCUGGGCUCAACCUGGGGACUGCAUUUGAUACGUGUAAGCUUGAGUGGAGAAGAGGGUCGUGGAAUUUCCAGUGUAGAGGUGAAAUUCGUAGAUAUUGGAAAGAACACCGGUGGCGAAGGCGGCGACCUGGUCUUUUACUGACGCUGAGGCGCGAAAGCGUGGGGAGCAAACCGGAUUAGAUACCCCAGUAGUCCCUGUCUCUUAUAC
RNAcentral lists this ribosomal RNA (301 nucleotides) under uncultured bacterium. RNAcentral describes it as "partial 16S ribosomal RNA". It matches the Rfam family "Bacterial small subunit ribosomal RNA", at positions 509 to 807 of the family's 1533-position model. The record is from RNAcentral.